AGGAGAUAAGAGCAAGAGAAAGUGAACUUGGUGACUUAGAGGAAAUCACAAAACUCAUCCUUCUUCUUCCUCCUUGGCCGUGUAUCUUCAUUCUUCUUUCUCUUCCAUCACCAAAAUUUCAUACCUUCACCAAAUUGAUCCAUCUUCAGCUUGUCGGAAACAUGAGAGUUCAUGGAUCAUCAUCCCUAAGCUAGGGCAAGCAAGAAAGCAAAGCAAGAGGGUGCUAGGGCUUGAGAAAGAGAGGAGCUCAUGAGAGCUAGAACAUGAGGAGCUUGAGGAUUCAUCAAACUUAAGAUAACCAGAUUGACAGGUUAUAUGUUAGCUUGCCCGAGUAGCGUGGUGAAGCUCCGCUCUGAUUGUGACACGGGGAGAAAAGGGGUUUUGUACAUAUAUAUAUAUAAAUUCCUUUAGAAAAUUACUCUGUAAUUGCUUAUGUUUUCAUAUAAGAAUUAUUCUUGGUGAAAAGUAUUGGUUUUGUAUAACUUAUAACGCAUCGUGUUGAUGCGGAGGAUUUUGUAUUUUGUGAUAUUCAAACCAGCGCUUUAUAAUCAGAUUUUCAAUUUUUCCGCUG
Long non-coding RNA from Trifolium pratense (red clover), 571 nucleotides. RefSeq lists it as uncharacterized. NCBI's taxonomy places the organism in Eukaryota, Viridiplantae, Streptophyta, Magnoliopsida, Fabales, Fabaceae. The record is from RefSeq and is a predicted model, not a curated record. The transcript has 2 exons.